AGUGAACGCUGGCGGUAGGCCUAACACAUGCAAGUCGAACGGCAGCACAGUAAGAGCUUGCUCUUACGGGUGGCGAGUGGCGGACGGGUGAGGAAUACAUCGGAAUCUACUUUUUCGUGGGGGAUAACGUAGGGAAACUUACGCUAAUACCGCAUACGACCUACGGGUGAAAGCAGGGGAUCUUCGGACCUUGCGCGAUUGAAUGAGCCGAUGUCGGAUUAGCUAGUUGGCGGGGGAAAGGCCCACCAAGGCGACGAUCCGUAGCUGGUCUGAGAGGAUGAUCAGCCACACUGGAACUGAGACACGGUCCAGACUCCUACGGGAGGCAGCAGUGGGGAAUAUUGGACAAUGGGCGCAAGCCUGAUCCAGCCAUACCGCGUGGGUGAAGAAGGCCUUCGGGUUGUAAAGCCCUUUUGUUGGGAAAGAAAAGCAGCAGGUUAAUCCCCCGCUGUUCUGACGGUACCCAAAGAAUAAGCAACGGCUAACUUCGUG
This 492-nucleotide ribosomal RNA is filed under the name uncultured bacterium. Its description in RNAcentral is "partial 16S ribosomal RNA". It matches the Rfam family "Bacterial small subunit ribosomal RNA", at positions 29 to 507 of the family's 1533-position model. The record is from RNAcentral.